GACGUCCUGCUACAACCAGGCGUCCGCCGGGUACUACGAGCAUUAGCUUGAAACCCAAAGGACCUGACGGUGCCUCAGACCCCCCUAGAGGAGCCUGUUCUAGAACCGAUAACCCCCGUUGAACCUCACCACUUCUAGCCACCCCAGCCUAUAUACCGCCGUCGUCAGCUUACCCUGUGAGGG
Molecule: ribosomal RNA, 183 nt
Filed under: Phenacobius teretulus
Lineage: Eukaryota; Metazoa; Chordata; Actinopteri; Cypriniformes; Leuciscidae
Description: partial 12S ribosomal RNA
Source: RNAcentral